Molecule: long non-coding RNA, 1928 nt
Organism: Cyprinodon tularosa
Lineage: Eukaryota; Metazoa; Chordata; Actinopteri; Cyprinodontiformes; Cyprinodontidae
Exons: 2
Source: RefSeq, a predicted model, not a curated record
UGAAUGUCUGACCAGGAAGUGGCUCCUCCAGCUCCUCUCACCUGCUUCCAGGCAGCUCAGAGGCCAUCUUGGAUGUUUUAUUCAGAACAGGAAUGCUAGGCUAACCUGAAAUAACUUCUAAUCCCUGACUGAUUCUGCUGCUUAUGUCCAGCAGGCGCAUUCAGGGACCUGCUUCAGUUUUCCUUUCUAGCAGUUUGUUGUAUUUUCUGAUGUUUUUCCCCCACAGAGCUCAUGUUGGUGUUAAAAAGAGGCCUCUGGUAGGAAGUAGGAUCCAGAAGCUGAAAUUCUUCAACCCAUUUCUGCACUAAUGUCCCAAACAUCCUAAAAAUCGAGCAUCAUCCGGUGUUCUUUGUUUGGGAGAGCUAUAAUAAGCAGCUCAUCUCCUGUGCUGGAGCCCAGAGAGCUGCCUUCCUGCCCAGCUCUGGCUCCCCCUAGCUACCUCUCCAUAUUUCCUUGUUAGUGCACACCCUGAGCCCUCACCCUCCCUGGCUAAGAAACACAUUAAAUACACCAAAAUACACCUGAAAAGCUGUUUUUUUCGACAUAUAUCCCAAGUAAAGAGUCUCCAUUUGCCUCCCAGCCAUCAUUGGGUCCCAUUGGUUUCACCAGAACAGAGGAUUUCUUACCUUUUCAGACUGACUCUGUCAAACUCUGCCUUUCCAAAGUCCCAACCUAAACACCCUCCUUCUUCUUCCCAGCAAUCCCUGCAAAAAGGACACUUCCAUGUAUGUUGAAUAUGUGGGGGUGAUCAAAUGGGACAAAACCAAUUUUUAAAUUCAAAUGAUUCCCCUUAAAUUAAAAAUAAGAUGUUCAGGCUCCAUAAAGGCAACAGCUCCAAUAUGGAACCAAAAAUGGCAUUUGAAGUGAGUUAAAUAAUAAAUAACCUUACCUCAGAAAUACGUGGUCCCACCCCCUGAAAUGUAGACUUCUUGUGCUCCAUCCAAUAGUGGAACAGUUGUUCCAGAGGAGGGUUUGUCAGCGAGUGCGCAGCUGAAGUCCUGGAGACGCUCAGCUGACUUCGGUGCGUUUCCAAGCCCUGGAGCAUCUUUAAAGGCUGCAUAUCCAGAUCUGAUGGACUUUUUGGGUCAAAGGGGAUGUUUUUGUUCGGGAAAAGAUUUAAAAAGGCGGAGAAAAUUUGGAAAACUAGGGUAAAAUCCAGCGAUACCAAAAGAGCGCAACGAAUCCAAAAUAGACCUCUCCAAAAUGGGAAAGGAGUAUCCAAGGCUCAGAAAACUCUUUACAGGCUCCAGGGAGGAAAAAUACAAAAAGUCAAUCUAAGUCUAAAGCAGGGAGCUGAGAGACACAAAUACGAAGCUGGGAUGGCAAAGAAUCCCACCAGGAGGAGCUGGUAGAGACAAGCAGAAAAUGGUUUUUAUUUGGUUUGUUUUUGUUUUAGUUUACUCAAUUUAAUUAUUUUAUUCAAAUAAAUUGUUUAAUAAAUCCGUGAUUUAUGUUUUCUUUUAUAUUCUGCUGUAGAUUGAUGUCAAUUUUAUUUUUAUCAAUUUAUUAAACAUGUAGCUUGUUGGCAAAAAAAAAAAACUUUUUUAAAAGUAAAUGGAUGUAAGUUUAUAUUUCUAUUGUCAUUAAUAAAAACAUUUAUCCACAUCCCUUUUGUUGUCUUAAUGUGUAAACCGGCAUGUUUACAGAAAUUUGUUCACUGAAGAAGGGAUCAGGAAGAUUGUUGGUCUUAAGACUAAAGGAAGGAAAACUGGAAUAAUUCUUCUUUAUAUGUUUUAUUUUUACAUAGAAAAAAGAAUAAUCUGUGUCAUUUAAUGAUAUUUACCAUGAAUCAUGCAAGUUUGAGUGUUAAACUUGUAAUGUUACUUGAUUUUCUGAAAUGAAUAAUAUAUUUUUAUUAUUUGAGAAAACCUGACAUUACAUCCACACACAUGAACCCAGAAAAAAUAAACUCAUUGGUUCUUUUCAAA